This 257-nucleotide ribosomal RNA is filed under the name uncultured bacterium. RNAcentral's name for it is "partial 16S ribosomal RNA". It matches the Rfam family "Bacterial small subunit ribosomal RNA", at positions 28 to 315 of the family's 1533-position model. The record is from RNAcentral.
GAUGAACGCUGGCGGCAUGGAUAAGGCAUGCAAGUCGAGUGGGUUUAGGCCCACGGCAAACGGGUUAGUACAACAUAGGAACGUGCCCUCGAGUCGCGAAUAAUUCGGAGAAAUCCGAAAUAAUACGCGAUACCUCUACGGAGGAAAGUCUUCGGACGCUUGAGGAGCGGCCUGUGCGCUAUCAGCUAGUUGGUGGGGUAAUGGCCUACCAAGGCUCUGACGGCUAGGGGUGGUGAGAGCAUGGCCCCCGAACCCAA